Molecule: ribosomal RNA, 124 nt
Filed under: uncultured bacterium
Lineage: Bacteria
Description: partial 16S ribosomal RNA
Rfam family: Bacterial small subunit ribosomal RNA
Source: RNAcentral
CGAAAGUCUGACGCGACACCGCGUGGAGGAUGAAGACCUUAGGGGCUUGUAAACUCCUUUUUAACGGCCAUGAAGGCCACUAGAAUAAGCAGCUACUAACUACGUGCCAGCAGCCGCGGUAAUA